Molecule: long non-coding RNA, 360 nt
Filed under: Mytilus galloprovincialis (Mediterranean mussel)
Lineage: Eukaryota; Metazoa; Mollusca; Bivalvia; Mytilida; Mytilidae
Source: RNAcentral
CGAAAUGACGAUGUAAAAAAAUUCAAACGAGAAAACUAGCGGCCUUAUUUAUGUACAAAAAAGGAACGAAAAACAAAUAUGUAACACACAAACAAACGACAACCACUGAACUACAGGCUCCUUACUUAAAUGUUCAUAACAUACUAAAUGUAUGUUCAUAUUGAAAUUGAUAGAAAACCAAAAAUUGGGAAUUUUGGAAAUGAAGGAGGAAGUAUAAAACUUCUAACAACACUUUACAUACUUUUAACUCCGCUCUGAAUGCCCGCGAUUUCGCGGGUGUGUUUUAGUUAAGCCUCAUAAUGGAACCCCAUUUAUAAACGAACUGUUAACUAAUAAAACAAAUAUAGAAAGGACAAUACC